Molecule: ribosomal RNA, 550 nt
Filed under: Aureobasidium melanogenum
Lineage: Eukaryota; Fungi; Ascomycota; Dothideomycetes; Dothideales; Saccotheciaceae
Description: LSU rRNA
Rfam family: Eukaryotic large subunit ribosomal RNA
Source: RNAcentral
UGAAGCGGCAACAGCUCAAAUUUGAAAGCUGGCCUUCGGGUCCGCAUUGUAAUUUGUAGAGGAUGCUUUGGGUGAAACGCCAGUCUAAGUUCCUUGGAACAGGACGUCAUAGAGGGUGAGAAUCCCGUAUGUGACUGGAAAUGUUAACCUAUGUAAAGCUCCUUCGACGAGUCGAGUUGUUUGGGAAUGCAGCUCUAAAUGGGAGGUAAAUUUCUUCUAAAGCUAAAUAUUGGCGAGAGACCGAUAGCGCACAAGUAGAGUGAUCGAAAGAUGAAAAGCACUUUGGAAAGAGAGUUAAAAAGCACGUGAAAUUGUUGAAAGGGAAGCGCUUGCAAUCAGACUUGUUUAAACUGUUCGGCCGGUCUUCUGACCGGUUUACUCAGUUUGGACAGGCCAGCAUCAGUUUCGGCGGCCGGAUAAAGGCUCUGGGAAUGUGGCCUUCACUUCGGUGAAGGUGUUAUAGCCCGGGGUGUAAUACGGCCAGCCGGGACUGAGGUCCGCGCUUCGGCUAGGAUGCUGGCGUAAUGGUUGUAAGCGACCCGUCUUGAAC